This 71-nucleotide transfer RNA is filed under the name Candidatus Nealsonbacteria bacterium CG_4_8_14_3_um_filter_34_13. RNAcentral's name for it is "tRNA-Gly". It matches the Rfam family "tRNA". Rfam says of the family: Transfer RNA (tRNA) molecules are approximately 80 nucleotides in length. The record is from RNAcentral. RNAcentral also lists the same sequence under 2 other names. Lineage: Bacteria; Candidatus Nealsoniibacteriota.
GCGGGUGUAGUUUAAUGGUAAAAUCUCUUCCUUCCAAGAAGAUGACGAGGGUUCGAUUCCCUUCACCCGCU